RNAcentral lists this long non-coding RNA (6883 nucleotides) under Sorghum bicolor (sorghum). RNAcentral's name for it is "long non-coding RNA (SBIC_LNC014590)". The stretch from base 4726 to 4832 matches the Rfam family "Plant small nucleolar RNA R71". Lineage: Eukaryota; Viridiplantae; Streptophyta; Magnoliopsida; Poales; Poaceae. The record is from RNAcentral.
UAAUCCUAUGUAGCUAUGCUAAUCUAGAUAUCUAAUUGAUGUGGUGGCUCUAAUCUUGAUCAGAGGCUUCUUCUCCCUUGAUGGAACAAUGAAUUAGGGUUGAGAGGCUCUCUCCUCCAGGGGUCAGGGGGUCUGGUUUUAUAGUCCCUUCAAGUGAAUAUGGGCCGUUGGAUCAAACCGACAUAGAUUGUAUGGUUUAGAUUCAUCCUUUAGGUCGGUGGAGAUCUGCCGCAAAGCAGAGUCCUGAUUGGACUCAGAGGCAGGGCGGGCGCCCUGACCAACUGGGCGGGCGCCCCGGGUCUGGCCCCGUUUCGCCUCCGCUUCGGUCUCAUGGCUUCUGGAGUCUUCUAGAUGUAAGAUAAUUGCGCGGCACGUUAAUAUCUUUACGUAAUCCCGACGUGUGGGCCUUUCUGCCGUAUUUCCUGAUAACUCCCUGCAGAAAUAGACAAACACCAAAACUCGUGGAAUUCUGUCAGAUAAAACCCUAAGUCUAGAUGUUGAUUUCAUUUGGAUCCUUUUCUUUAUUUAUUUGAUAAUUAAAUUUGAUACUUAAGGACCGUCAACAAACUCCCCCAAGCUUACCUCUUGCUUGUCCCUGAGCAAGGAUAGACUCAGCUAUGGAUCAUAAGUUGUAGCAAUAUCUUUAAAAAUUGAUGGUACACAUGCUUUUUAAAUAAGAUCUCAUCUCUGAGUUAGAGUAAACUGUCAAGACUUAAAACUUACUUAGUUUACCUUCACCAUGGGACUUGUAACUGUCACUUCUGUAUUGAGUGGUUAAAAGAUAGAACAGUCUAGUCAAGUGCCAUGUCUCUUAUUCUUGAUCAGCUAUAGAUCUAGAGUUUUUGUAGAUUUUCAAAUAAAACUCAGAGAUUCCUUGUAUGAUUCUCUCAAAUCUCUCUUUUGUGGUAUUUCUGGAUCCUUACCAAGGCAGUGAUGGUAUAUGCCUUCUCUCAAGAUAUGUAGUAUUUGUGGUAUAAGGCAUAGUGACAUUGCCUUCUCUCUCACCCUACUCUAAUAAGGCUUUAAUAUCUGGAGCUCAUAGGUGGGAGAUAAAAUAUACAUACUUACAAGACAUUUAUUGCAUAGUCAAACCAUGGAUCCAAAGAAACAAAUCAAUAAGCCAAAUCAAGAUGUGCAUGUGUGGCGAAUGAAUGAUGUAUGGUGGUGAUGGUGAUAACAAUGGUGAAAACAAUGGUGGUGGAAGUCUAAUUCUACUUUGCUCUUUUGAGGGGAUACAUACCUUUCUUGCUUUUUGAAACUUUAUGAGGAGAAUGAGAUGCUCUUCUUUUUCUUUUCUCUCAAGUGGGUAUCUUGCACCCCUAAUUCUACUGUCGGACACUUGUCCAUUUUUACCUCUCGUCUCACUUUUUCUUUUCUUUCGAGGUUCCGAGCACUUGCUCCUUUUUAUUUCCUCGUAUUUCUUCUCUUUUUUUUAGAGCACUCAUCUCAUAAGAUAAUAUAGCAAGUGGUAGUAACAAGAUAACUUGAGCAUUUAUUUCACAAGGGGAAACAGAAAUAUUUUUGGUUAUUCUCUCCCGGAUUAGGAGUAGAAUAUUUUUAGGUGGUUCUGGAGAUGGAAAUGGAUAGAUAUAUGUGGAUGGUACUUCCAGAGUAGAAGUAGCAUAUAUGAGUGAAUGUGCAAGUGAAAUCUUGAUAUAACCACAUGACAAGUUCCUAAGGGUCUACACAGCUUGACCACACUCAAUGCUCAUAAGUAGUAAAUAUUAAAUGUGUGGCUCAUAGUCUAGCAAGCAUGUAUAUAUGGCUGUGGUAGGAAUUUAAACUCUGAUCAUAUAGGAACUCAUCAUGCAACAUUUUAAAGAUUUUCAAAGAUAAAAUUCUCCAGAAUUCUAGCAUCUCUAGGAACAGAUAAACAGCAGCUCAACCUUCCCAUAUCAUAUCCGUUAACAACUUAGACUUCAGAUCAAGUUUUCAUCCCACAAGUUUAGGUCUAGGGCAAGCUUUAAAUUAUAACAGUUAUAUCUAAACUUGAGAGAGAACUUAAAAUGUGCAAAUUAGGCAGAGCAACUAUUCAUCAUAUCCAUGCUUAAGUUUUAUUUAGAUACAGAUUAGCAUAGCCACUUUAUUUAUUUUAUUAAACACACUAAGCAAAAGACAUAUAUAUAAGCAUAAAAUCUUUAUUUGGUUUUUUCGUAGUUAUGUAUAUUUAUAUUCUAAAAUAAUAUGAGUGUAAAGAUAGAUAGAUAGAAAUACUUAUCGAGAUAAAUGGGGGUGCUCUCCCCCAAGCUUAAUUUUGAUGUAAUUUCUCUUGAUGUAGCUAGUAGGUGGCAUAGGUGUAUUUGAAAGUCAGCAGCAUUCUGACAGUGAUUAGAAUGUCCUUCGUCUGCUAGUCUUCUUGACUCUUAAAUUCUGUGGAGCUCAAAUAGACAACAAAGCUUGUGGAACUGAUUAAGUGUUAGCAUAAAUAUCUAGCCUUUAUCAUGUUGAGACUCCUUAAUAAAUGUUACUCCCUAUUUUUAUAUUUUCAUUUUUAUAAAGCAGAAAAAUAUUUAUUUUAUUUUUAUGCAACCACAGUGAAUGUACUUAUGGGUUUUAUUCCACUCGUAUACUCACAUGGGGCUUACUGUUUUUCAUAUUUUUAUUUUCUUUUUAAGAUAGUACGAAUAUGAUUAACUAAGCAAACUAUUUGAAAUAAUUGAAAGGGAAAGGAUAACUACCAAGUUUACCUCUUGGCAAGGCGUUCGGUAUUUUUAAGUCCUCCGAACGGGACUCUCCAUUUUCUUAAUCGUCCUGAGGUUCGUUGGGUGGCGUAGUCGGUACUUCCGGCAGCGCCUCCUCUUCUUGUAUAGUUAUCUUCAUUUUCCAUACCUGACUCGGUGCUUCAAUCCCCUCUGGAUAAUUCUGUUUAAACUCAACGUCUUCUGAUCUUACAACUUCUCCUUCGUAGUCUGCCCAUCCGUCCUUGAUGAUCUGCCUCCUUUGGUUGCGGUUGCAUCUCUUUCUGACCUGCUUAGAUUCUUCAAUGAUAUAGUGUGCAUAUAGACUUCUCCGGUUCCAAUGUAGAUAAUUGCUUUAACGGUGCUGAGGAACGGUCUUCCAAGGAUGAUGGGUGGAUCGUACUCAUCUUCUCCCAUGUCAAUAACUUGAAAGUCUGUGUAGACAAAGUGAUCGUCUAUUUUGACUGGGACAUCAGUUACUGUUCCUUUAACUUCACGAAAUGUCUGAUCUGCCAUCUGGAGCUGAAUGUAUGUUGGUCUUAGUGGCAUGGUCCCGAACAAGAGCCGAUAGGUGACUGCGGCCAUUAUGUUGACGCCCGAUCCGGUGUCGCAAAUCGUUUUGUAGAAGCUAUAUCUAUGUAUGGAGCAGUAAAUGCUUGGCAUUCCUCGGUCAUCCUUCUUGGUUAAAAACGGUGACUUAAGUUGAUGAUCUUGACCUCCAUGAACUACAAUGACCAUCUUAGCUGACUCGGUCCACACUUGCUUAUUCUUAUUUCUCCUGUUGGUCCUCUUCCUUGAUUCACGUCUUGAUUGAUUUGGAAUUUGUGUAGUCUUGUUCUUGAAGAAAAAUGUUUCCUUCUUCCCUUUGACGUAGAAACUGAUCUUGGCAGCACUAGCGUAUAUGAUAGCUCUCGUGGUGUUCAAGAAUGGCCUCCCUAAGAUGAUAGGUGCUCUCUCAUCAUUUCCGGUCUCUACCACUACGAAGUCUGCUGGGGCAUACAAGGUACCAACUCGGACACAAAGGUUCGUCACAAUUCCUUUUGGAAAAGUUAUCGUCUGAUCUGCAAACUGCAAACACAUGGUUGUCUCUAAUAAAGGAUAUGUAAAGAAUUUUUCAUAGAGUACCCUGGGUAUAAUGUUGACACUGGAGCCAAAGUCGCAGAGUGCUUUUGGGACAUCCACCAUGCCGAUGGAGAUCGGGAUGAUGGGGCGUCCUGGAUCGCCUCUCUUGACCGGCAGAAGGUCAGUAGAGAAUUCAGUGACGGGGUUACUCCAAUUACCUACAUCAAACAUGUCUACAAGAUUUGCAGAUUCUAAUCCUUCCGGUUGUGAUGGUAUACCGGGGUUAGUAGUAGGAACAGCAGCAGCUAUUUGAUUUAACUGAGAUUCAAUCAUUUUAUUAAAGCUGAUUUGAUUCUUGAUGGCAGUAGAGAAAUUAUCCAUUCUAUUUUUUAUAUUUUCUAGCAUUUUAUCAUUUGAUGUCAAUUUCUUAGAUAGGUUAUCCAUUAGCUUUCCUUGAUUAGACACUAACUCUCUCAAAGGUGGAAGAUUAUUAUUAUUGUUGUAAGAAUUGAUACCUUGAUAAUUACCUGAGUAGUUAGGCCUCUGUUGAUUCCAACCUUGAUUUUGUUGAGGACGGUUGUAGUAGUAGUUGUUGUUGUUGUUGAUGUAGUUCACAUCCUCAAGCAUCUCAGGGCAGUGGUUGCCUGAGUGUCCAGUGUCUCCACACUCCUCACAAGUCAUGUGAGAGUCGUAGAUGUGCAUAACUUCUUUCUUGUCUCCAGCUCUAUCGUCGAGCUUCUUCAUGAGCAGGUCUAGCUUUGCAGACAGCAUGUCUACCUCCUUUAGCUGAUGCAUACCUCCACCUCUCUUGCUUGUCUGGGUCCUCUCUUCAUUCCAGCUUUGAUUGGACGCCAUCUUCUCCACAAGAGUUGUGGCUUGUGGUAUAGUAAGUGAUAAGAAAGCUCCUCCAGCUGCAGCAUCCAUGGUCUCUCGGGCACUGUUGCCGAGCCCAUGAUAAAAUGUCUGCAUUAGUAGCCAACUCUCCAUUCCAUGAUGGGGACAUUCUAGGAUGUAGUCUUGAAAGCGCUCCCAUGCUUGUGGAACAGAUUCAUCAUUUUGUUGCUGAAAACUCGUAAUCUUCCCACGGAGAGCAUUGGUCUUGCCCAUGGGAAAGAACUUUGCCAGGAAGUUUGUUGAGCAGAGUGCCCACGUAGUAUUCUUCUCCUUUGUAGUGUAGAACCACUGCUUUGCUCUUCCUAACAGUGAGAAUGGGAAGAGGCGAAGUAGUAUAGCAUCUUUGGAAACUCCUGCUAUGGUGAAUGUGUUGCAAAUCUCCAGGAAGUGUUGUAAAUGAGCACUAGCAUCUUCGUGUGCCUUCCCACAGAACUGGUUGGAUUGCACCAUGUUGAUAAGUCCAGGCUUGAGCUCAAAGUUGCCAUUGAUCUCUGCAGCAGGUCCAGUGCGGAUGUUGUCCGUAGUGGGAGCUGAGAACUCGCGGAUUGAUUUGUUCGCCAUGGCCUCGAACUCUGAAGACAAGUUCCGGUGAUCUUCUUGAUUUGAUGAAGCUUCUUGCUGAAGUGUUGAUGAUCUCUUCUUGAGCUUGGCUCUCGUCUUCUUGAAUAAUGCUUCGGGAUUGUCAACAAAAUUUCCUAGAUGAUGUCUUCUAUUCAUACAUUCCCCUGCAUAAGAUGAAAUAGGAAAAUAUCGGGGUAAAACUGUAUGAGAGAAUAGAUAAGCUCAAUCAUAUUAGUGAUGCGAAUGAUAACUCAAAAUCUUUUAUUCUAUUCCUGAUUAGUAAUCAACCUUCCCCGGCAACGGCGCCAAAAAUGCUUGUUGGGUAUUCUUAACAUCAUUACCAAAAGUAGACUAAGUUCUCUAAAUCUAGUAACGGUGCCAAAAAUGCCAAACCUAUCCCUCACACCACUUAAGCCGAGUUGUCAUCCCCAGCAUGAUAUAAGAGACGCGGUAUUGAAAUAUGCAAUUGCUCUUCUAAAUAAAUAAUGAAUGGGAUCUGCAAGCGCACAGAUUAAUACCGAUGUAGCAUUGUAACCGGGAAGUAUUCCAGGUAUCGUUAUUUAUAUUUUUACCACUGGGAAGGGAUUAACAAUCAUCAAUAUUGAUUACAGAAUAGAAUAUGAGAUUGAGCAUCUAUCAUUGCAUGUAUAAUUGAGAACAUUAUAUCUAACUCUUCAUACAGGGAUAAGUGCCACAUAAAGGAUAUAUGAAAUAAUAAUAGUGACAAGGAUAACUAAUCUGAUCUAGCCACAUAAUAAAUAUGAUAAGCACCUCAAUUAGAUACUCUAGAAAGUCAUUAGCAUGGUAUUAGAAUGAACUACAAGAAUAUUCCCUAAGUUAUUCUCAACUAUAUAGUCUAGCAUAUCAUAGUUAGUGCAAGCAUACUUAGCAAUCAUUGCGAGACAAGACUACGCCCAUGCAUAGUGAUAUUAGCAAGGAAUAUGAGAAACAUAGCAAUCACUCCCCUGUAAUAAUGUUGCUCUGCCAGCCCAAUACACGAGAGGGGGACUAUAUAAGAAUCAAUGAAGCUGUCACUAUCACGAACCACCCCACGAUCUGGCAUAUUGGGUACAAUCGCAGAUAAAUACGGUAUAAGCACCACGCCUACACAAUAUCUAUCAUUUACCCAUGGAUCCGAUGGAUAAACGCUAUACGAUCCUAAGCAUGUAUAUAGAUCCAAUCUAACUAAGCCAAGUACAUAACUAUGAUAAACUAAGAACAAUAUAAUCUUGAAUAUAAGCAAGUAGAGCAAAGUCAUAAGCAAUAUAUUGAAGUAGAACAAAGUCAUAUUCAUAAUAUUGAAGAACAAAGAUAAUUAGAAUGCAAUUAGAAGCACAAUUAGAGAAUUACCAAGAAUCCUCUUGACAGAUCCGAAAACCAAUCGAAGAUUGACUCCUUCUAGUUCUAAUCCUAUGUAGCUAUGCUAAUCUAGAUAUCUAAUUGAUGUGGUGGCUCUAAUCUUGAUCAGAGGCUUCUUCUCCCUUGAUGGAACAAUGAAUUAGGGUUGACAGGCUCUCUCCUCCAGGAUCAGGGGGUCUGGUUUUAUAGUCCCUUCAAGUGAAUAUGGGCCGUUGGAUCAAACCGACAUAGAUUGUAUGGUUUAGAUUCAUCCUUUAGGUCGGUGGAGAUCUCCCGCAAAGCAGAGUCCUGAUUGGACUCAGAGGCAGGGCGGGCGCCCUGACCAACUG